CCUACGGGAGGCAGCAGUGGGGAAUAUUGCACAAUGGGCGCAAGCCUGAUGCAGCAACGCCGCGUGAGGGACGACGGCCUUCGGGUUGUAAACCUCUUUUAGUAGGGAAGAAGCGAAAGUGACGGUACCUGCAGAAAAAGCACCGGCUAACUACGUGCCAGCAGCCGCGGUAAUACGUAGGGUGCAAGCGUUGUCCGGAAUUAUUGGGCGUAAAGAGCUCGUAGGCGGUUUGUCGCGUCUGCUGUGAAAACCCCGAGGCUCAACCUCGGGCCUGCAGUGGGUACGGGCAGACUAGAGUGCGGUAGGGGAGAUUGGAAUUCCUGGUGUAGCGGUGGAAUGCGCAGAUAUCAGGAGGAACACCGAUGGCGAAGGCAGAUCUCUGGGCCGUAACUGACGCUGAGGAGCGAAAGCAUGGGGAGCGAACAGGAUUAGAUACCCUGGUAGUCCAUGCCGUAAACGUUGGGAACUAGAUGUAGGGACCAUUCCACGGUUUCUGUGUCGCAGCUAACGCAUUAAGUUCCCCGCCUGGGGAGUCGGCCGCGAAGGCUAAAACUCAAAGUAUAGUUGCGUGNGAGNGCGCGACGCGACGACGGAGGAGGAG
RNAcentral lists this ribosomal RNA (601 nucleotides) under uncultured bacterium. Its description in RNAcentral is "bacterial SSU rRNA". It matches the Rfam family "Bacterial small subunit ribosomal RNA", at positions 338 to 946 of the family's 1533-position model. The record is from RNAcentral.